AGAGACAGCAGUCGCCGCGGUAAUACGGAGGGUGCAAGCGUUAAUCGGAAUUACUGGGCGUAAAGCGCACGCAGGCGGUCUGACAAGUCAGAUGUGAAAUCCCCGGGCUUAACCUGGGAACUGCAUUUGAAACUGUCAGGCUGGAGUCUUGUAGAGGGGGGUGGAAUUCCAGGUGUAGCGGUGAAAUGCGUAGAGAUCUGGAGGAAUACCGGUGGCGAAGGCGGCCCCCUGGACAAAGACUGACGCUCAGGUGCGAAAGCGUGGGGAGCAAACAGGAUUAGAUACCCGGGUAGUCCCUGUCUCUUAUAC
This 309-nucleotide ribosomal RNA is filed under the name uncultured bacterium. RNAcentral describes it as "partial 16S ribosomal RNA". It matches the Rfam family "Bacterial small subunit ribosomal RNA", at positions 504 to 807 of the family's 1533-position model. The record is from RNAcentral.